UUUUAACACCCAUGAGACGCAAGUAACCUGACUGGUGGGAUGGCCUUGUGCCUGCACCAUCGACCGACCAUGAUCUUCUGUGAAAGGUUUGAGUACGAGCAUACACGUCGGGACCCGAAAGAUGGUGAACUAUGCCUGAGCAGGGCGAAGCCAGAGGAAACUCUGGUGGAGGCUCGUAGAUGUGCUGACGUGCAAAUCGCUUUUCGGACUUGGGUAUAGGGGCGAAAGACUAAUCGAACCAUCUAGUAGCUGGUUCCCUCCGAAGUUUCCCCCAGGAUAGCUGGAGCUUGAUCAGUUUUAUCAGGUAAAGCGAAUGAUUAGAGGUACCGGGGAUGAAACAUCCUCGACCUAUUCUCAAACUUUAAAUAGGUAAGACGUUUGGGUUGCUUAAUUGAACCCAGGCAUUCAAUGGGAGCUCCAAGUGGGCCAUUUUUGGUAAGCAGAACUGGCGAUGCGGGAUGAACCGAAAGCUGAGUUAAGGCA
RNAcentral lists this ribosomal RNA (483 nucleotides) under Pleurastrum terricola. RNAcentral's name for it is "eukaryotic LSU rRNA". It matches the Rfam family "Eukaryotic large subunit ribosomal RNA", at positions 699 to 1187 of the family's 3401-position model. Lineage: Eukaryota; Viridiplantae; Chlorophyta; Chlorophyceae; Chlamydomonadales; Pleurastraceae. The record is from RNAcentral.